RNAcentral lists this long non-coding RNA (1340 nucleotides) under Numida meleagris (helmeted guineafowl). RNAcentral describes it as "lncRNA (ENSNMEG00000004234.1)". Lineage: Eukaryota; Metazoa; Chordata; Aves; Galliformes; Numididae. The record is from RNAcentral.
GAGCAGACUACAUAGCAGGGUAUGUGGGGUAGGACUGGGGCUUGGACCAGGCCAGGUGGAAUGCAGUGGGCUUUGCUCUCGUUCUUAGUGCUUGUUUUUGCUCAGGAGGGGCAAGGUGGUGAAGCUGGUGAACGAAUGGCUGCAGAUGAGGUUUGCGGAGCAAGAGGUCCUGCAGGUCUUCUGUGACACCCAUGAAGCUGUAGCGAGGUUGCCUCAGUGUAAAACACGAGAAAUGCACAGAGAUCUGCAGGGGAGAUGUGGCAGAAUGUAUCUGACGAAUGAUUUGCGGUGUCUUUCUGCCACCCAAAACACUCCUGAUAAUGGCGUAGCUGAGAAAAAGUGUGCUGUCGAUGCGUUUCCUGGACUCAGAUGAAAAGGAUGGCUGCAGAGAUGUUGGCCUUGAGAGCUGCAACUGAAAAGGACGCUUGUGGUCUGAUGUCCAGCCUGCUCCCACAUGCUCAGACGAGCCAAGUUUGCAAGGCCUGGCUCUUGGUUGGUGAGUUGUGCCCAAGGUCAGGGAUUUGAUUCUUCUGGGCUUGGAGAGAUGUUUUCCAGUUGCACGUUGUAUUAUUUUUGUGGCGUUGACCUCCUGAGCGCCAGCCCUAGGUGGGGAUCCAAGUACUAACACAGUAGGGGUGGUUUAGCUAGAUGCUAACUUUGACAGGAAAUGCAGUGCCCAGGGCUGCACGCACUUGUGACAGCUGUGAGUGUAAGGAAAGGCAUGUGGUGGGUGAGGGCUUUGGUGGGUGGGCAUCACCGUGCUGAAGUGCAGGCAGCCGUUGUGUUUGCAGGCAGGCAGAUCGAUGGGGAUUGGAGGCUGUUUCAGCCUUGCAGCUCUUGGCUGUUGCUCUGAGAGUGGAGGAUCUUUCCGUGAGAGAACUACCAGCAGCAGGGAUCCCGUGCGUGGGCUUGGAGCCCUUUCAGGCAAAGCAGGUGGAUUAGUUUGUGGGCUGGGAGCGGUUUGGAGUUAAGGCAGCAGGCUUUGCCGAAAGCAGAACGACCUGUGGGCCCGGUGUCCCAACAGGUAGGAAGUGACCAAGAGCUGGAGACAAGGGCACCUUGAGCAGCCCUCUUGAGGGGAAUCCUCCGUGUGAACAGAGGCCCAGAAGAAGAGAGUAGCUUGUCCCUGUGUUGACGCGGUAAGGUUUUCCUUCCUGACCUGUUCCCUCUCAGGUGGUGUGUCAGUCUUCCCUGGUGUGCCUACGGCUGUGAAAUGUGCUCUACGGGAAGUGCUGACAUUUUGCAUUUGACCUUGUCUCUCAUGUUGUUUUAAAGCACCAUCUUAGAGGCAACCUUGAUUCCUACAGCCCUGAGCUUUGUGCCACGAGAGCUCUCCCGCU